AAAUUUUCUUAAGGAACUCGGCAAAAUCCCAAUGGCCCACCAGGGCAUAUUGGAACACGGGCCUCGACUGUUUACCAAAAACAUAGCCCUCGGCUAAUAUGAAAAUAGAUGUAUAGAGGGUGAUGCCUGCCCAAUGGUUGUAUCUAAAAGCGGUUGAUAAAAGUUGACCUCGUAAGGACAAUUGAAUGGCCGCGGUAACACUGACCGUGAUAAUGUAGCGUAAUCAAUAGCCAAUUAAUUGUUGGCCAGUAUGAAUGGCGCCACGAAGGCCCCACUGUCUUAAGGAAAUUCCCAGUGAAAUUGAAUUCGUAGUGAAGAUGCUACGUCCAAUUUGUUAGACGAAAAGACCCCGUUGAGCUUUACUGGAGCACUUACAUGGCCCCGGCCUUCCCAUGCCUGGGAACCGGCCGAAUUUAAAUGGGCGGCUUAGAUUAUGUGGCAGCCCCCCGCUGGGGCAAAUGAAACACCACUCCCCCAUGUCAAAGGGGCUAACCCCCCCCCUUGGGGGGGACAGUGUAAGUAGGACAGUUUGGUUGGGGCGACCACCUUUUAAAAAGUAACGAAGGUGCGCUUAAGGUGCGCAAUUAAUGACUGAAGCCUGACUGCGAGGGGGACACCCCGAGCAGACACCCCAAAGCCCGCCCGAAAGGCGGCGGUGGGGUGGGCCAUAGUGACCCGUUAAUUUAGAGUGGAAUAGUUAACGAUCAACGAAUAAAAGUUACCACGGGGAUAACAGCGUAAUAUCGUUAGAGAGUUC
This 757-nucleotide ribosomal RNA is filed under the name Zoanthus sansibaricus. RNAcentral describes it as "partial 16S ribosomal RNA". It matches the Rfam family "Bacterial large subunit ribosomal RNA", at positions 1697 to 2501 of the family's 2925-position model. Lineage: Eukaryota; Metazoa; Cnidaria; Anthozoa; Zoantharia; Zoanthidae. The record is from RNAcentral.